AUGGCCGCGACGGCGAGGCUCCGGCCGGCACGAGCUCGCGGCGUGCUCUGGAGCGUCUCGGUGUGGCUCGUCUGCGGCGCUGCGGCGUACGCGCCGGAGGACAACUACCUCGUCAGCUGCGGCUCCUCGCUGGACACGCCGGUGGGCCGGAGGCUCUUCCUCGCCGACGACGGCGGCUCCGGCUCCGGCUCCGGCGCGGUCACCCUGACGUCCCCUCGCAGCGCCGCGGUGAAGGCCCCGCCGGACCUGGUGUCCGGCUUCCGCGACGCCGCGCUGUACCAGAACGCCAGGGUGUUCUCCGCGCCCUCUUCCUACUCCUUCGCCAUCAGGCGCCGCGGCCGGCACUUCCUCCGCCUCCAUUUCUUCCCCUUCGUGUACCGGAGCUACGACCUCGCCGUGGCGGCCAGGGCGUUCAAGGUGUCCACGCAGGACGCCGUGCUGCUCGAGGACGGCGUCCCGGCGCCCGAGCCCGGCAACGCGUCGACGUCGACGUCGCCCCAGCCGGCGCGCGUGGAGUUCCUCCUGGACGUCGCGCGCGACACGCUCGUGGUCUCGUUCGUGCCGCUCGUCGACGGGGGCAUCGCGUUCGUGAACGCCGUCGAGCUCGUCUCCGUGCCCGACGACCUCGUCGCCGACGCGGCGGACUCGUCGACGGGCCGGCCAGAGCCGAUCCCCGCCGCGCUGCCGCUGCAGACGGCCUACCACCUCAACGUGGGCGGCCCGGCCGUCGCGCCCGACGACGACGCGCUCUGGCGAGAAUGGACUACCGACCAGCCCCUCUCCGAUCCUAGGGUCGACGCGGUGACUCGGGAGGUUCGUUACAACAGGACGCUGAACCGCCUGCCCGGGCAAGCGACGGCGACCGACGCGCCGGACAUCGUCUACGCCACGGCGAGGGAGCUCGUGAUCAACCGCAGCUCAUUCGACGGGCAGAAACAGAUGGCGUGGCAGUUCGACGUCGACGCGGGCUCCAGCUAUUUCAUCAGGUUCCACUUCUGCGACAUCGUCAGCGAGGCUCCCCACCAGCUCCACAUCAACGCCUACGUCGAUGACGCCAGUCACGCCACCGUGCUGACGGACCUUGACCUCGCCGCCGUCGGCGAUGGUGCGCUGGCGUUCCCGUACUACAAGGACUUCGUGUUGCCUGCUAGCGAAGCGUCCGGGAAACUCGCCGUCCAUGUUGGCCCGUUGGCAAAUAAGAUCGUGAUGCCCGCCGCCAUCCUCAAUGGGAUUGAGAUCAUGAAGAUGCACCUGAGCGCCGGCUCUGUCGUCGUCGUAGAGCCGGCGGCGGGGGCAGCCAAGUCGCGUCUCGCCGUCAUUCUUGGCUCCGUGUGUGGAGCGCUCGCUUUCGUGUCCAUCGCCAUUGCUCUCGCCAUUGUCCUUAGGAAGAAGAAGGGGGAGGGGGAGGAGGGUGUUAAGGAGCAGCCGACGCCGACGCGGAGCCAGUCGUCCACGCCAUGGAUGCCACUCCUCGGCCGCCUCAGCGUUCGCGGCGCCAUUGCAUCAGGAUCGUCAAGCUUCACUACCGCCGGUAACACUCCGGGAGCGAGCCCGAGGGCUGCUGCUGCUGCCGCCGCCGCGGUGGUGCCAAGCUACCGUUUCCCGCUCGCCAUGUUGCAAGACGCGACGCGCAACUUCGACGACAGCCUGAUCAUCGGAGAGGGAGGGUUCGGCAAGGUGUACGGCGCCGUGCUCCAGGACGGCACCAAGGUCGCCGUGAAGCGCGCGAGCCCGGAGUCGCGGCAGGGCGCGCGGGAGUUCCGCACGGAGAUCGAGCUUCUGUCCGGGCUGCGCCACCGCCACCUGGUGUCGCUCGUCGGCUACUGCGACGAGCGGGAGGAGAUGAUCCUGCUGUACGAGUACAUGGAGCACGGCUCGCUGAGGAGCCGGCUGUACGGCCGCGGCGGCGCGGCGCCGCUGAGCUGGGCGCAGCGGCUGGAGGCGUGCGCCGGCGCGGCGAGGGGCCUCCUGUACCUGCACACGGCCGUGGACAAGCCGGUGAUCCACCGCGACGUCAAGUCGUCCAACAUCCUGCUGGACGGCGACCUCACGGGCAAGGUGGCCGACUUCGGGCUGUCCAAGGCCGGGCCGGUGCUCGACGAGACGCACGUGAGCACGGCCGUCAAGGGCAGCUUCGGGUACGUCGACCCGGAGUACUGCCGGACGAGGCAGCUGACGGCCAAGUCCGACGUGUACUCGCUGGGCGUCGUGCUGCUGGAGGCCGUCUGCGCGCGCCCCGUCGUCGACCCGAGGCUGCCGAAGCCCAUGUCGAACCUGGUGGAGUGGGGGCUGCACUGGCAGGGCAGAGGCGAGCUGGAGAAGAUCGUGGACCGGCGCAUCGCCGCCGUGGCGAGGCCGGCGGCGCUGAGGAAAUACGGCGAGACGGUGGCCAGGUGCCUGGCGGAGCGCGGCGCCGACCGGCCGGCCAUGGAAGACGUGGUGUGGAACCUGCAGUUCGUGAUGCGGCUGCAGGAGGGCGACGGCCUGGACUUCUCCGACGUGAGCAGCCUCAACAUGGUGACAGAGCUCACGCCGCCUCGCCGUCAGAGAAGCGCGGUCGAUUGCGACGGCCUGGACUUCUCCGACGUGAGCAGCCUCAACAUGGUUACAGAGCUCACGCCGCCUAAAACCGGCAGCAUGGAAGGAGACGGUGUAGCCGACGAUGACGAUUUCACAGACGCAUCCAUGAGAGGGACCUUUUGGCAGAUGGUCAAUGUCCGCAGCAGAUGA
This 2730-nucleotide ribosomal RNA is filed under the name Triticum aestivum (bread wheat). RNAcentral describes it as "partial small subunit ribosomal RNA". Lineage: Eukaryota; Viridiplantae; Streptophyta; Magnoliopsida; Poales; Poaceae. The record is from RNAcentral.